RNAcentral lists this ribosomal RNA (422 nucleotides) under uncultured bacterium. RNAcentral describes it as "bacterial SSU rRNA". It matches the Rfam family "Bacterial small subunit ribosomal RNA", at positions 355 to 774 of the family's 1533-position model. The record is from RNAcentral.
UAAGGAAUAUUGGUCAAUGGACGCAAGUCUGAACCAGCCAUGCCGCGUGAAGGAUUAAGGCCCUCUGGGUUGUAAACUUCUUUUAUAUGGGAAGAAACGUACUUUUUCUAAAGUGCUUGACGGUACCAUAGGAAUAAGCACCGGCUAACUCCGUGCCAGCAGCCGCGGUAAUACGGAGGGUGCAAGCGUUAUCCGGAUUUACUGGGUUUAAAGGGUGCGUAGGCGGAUGAAUAAGUCAGUGGUGAAAUCUCCGAGCUUAACUCGGAAACUGCCGUUGAUACUAUUUGUCUUGAAUAUUGUGGAGGUAAGCGGAAUAUGUCAUGUAGCGGUGAAAUGCUUAGAUAUGACAUAGAACACCAAUUGCGAAGGCAGCUUGCUACACAAUCAUUGACGCUGAGGCACGAAAGCGUGGGGAUCAAACA